The sequence is a small nucleolar RNA, 87 nucleotides long. It matches the Rfam family "A. fumigatus snoRNA Afu_264". The record is from Rfam.
CUACAUGAUGAUAUUUCACUUUUUACUUUUUCUGGUACCUCUUAUGUUAGAGCCCUCGGGCUCAAUGAAUGAACUGGACUUCUGACA